GAACUUGAUGAUCUUAGAGGUGUUUUUGAACCUAAAGAAUUCCCUGAUUCUGUAAUAUAGUAGACCUUUUUAAAACCAGGUACAGCGUGAGGGAGGUGACUUGUCCUGGUGUUACUCCUUUGUAGGUGUCUGCUCCCAGCCCUGGUUGAGUCAGACUAAGAGGGCUGCUGGUUGGAGGCAGCACGGCUGUCCCAAGUAGGGACAGAGGAACAACUUUUUCUGAGCUCUGGGUUCCAAUAGUUGAACGCUGGGGCUCUGCCAACACAUCCACAGCACUACCACUCCUCUGCCAGGAGGGACAUGCUUCCUAGCUGGAGCAGGAAGAAGGAGGGACAUCUGCCUGGGCUUCAAUCACCAGGAGUUGCUGCUGGCCUCCCUGUGCAAGCUUGCCUUUGCUCUCAGCCUCGCUGGCGUUGCGGACGGUUCGGCGUGGCGCUCCCUCUGCUGCGCUAUUCCCGCGCUGCCCCCGGCUCCCGCCAGCUGCGCUGGGCGUGCGGCUCACACGGCAUCCGCGCACAGCUGCCUGCCAAGGGAACACAGCCCCGCUCCCCCCGAGCUGGCUGGGAAAUGCAGGCAGGGAACAAAGACGCUGGCAGGCAGGGAGAUGCGUGGGGAAGAGCGAGACCGGAUUUCUUGGCAAGAAAGAUAUAAAUCCUCUUUCCAAAGGCAACCCAGGGUUUUUGGUUUUUUUUCAUGUGGAGGGCUUCUACCCUUGGAGCAGGGCUGGUGGGAUGGGAGCUUCAGGCUGUGUUGCUGAUAGGAGUUGAGAGGAGAAAAUUAGUUCCCGGCGUUGCUGAUAAAGCCACGUUAAAUCGCAGGCGGUUUUCCCGCUCUGAGCCAGCUGCGGCCCCUCUGUUGUGGGCAGAGCAGAGAUGAACGGGGGCGGUGCAUAGGAGCAAGGAGGCAGCAGGCUCUGGGGAGCUGAGAGGGAACUGGCCCACAGCUGUUGCCUUCCCGGUUCCUGGACUCCUGGAGUCCAGGGCUCCAGCUGAUCUGCUUAUGUUGUCACCUCGAAGGCGGCGCUGUGCCUGGAAGAGCACCAGCCAGAAAGGAAAAAAGGUGGGCCAGGACGGGGGCGGGCUGGGACCCGCGGCAGGGCUGUAGUCUGAGCCAGGAGCUGGCUCUUUCAGGGAUUUCUCUCUGCCUUCUUUUGCAUUUACUGGAAAACUCUUCUGUAAAUGUCUUAAAUUACAUUUAGGCAGGAUUUUUACUGUGCCUCAAACCUUUUGCAAGCAGCAUACCUGUGCUGGAUGACACAAAAACCACAGGGCUCUCCUGCUCCCAGGGAUGCACAGUGAUGUCUGAUAAGGCAAGGGAAGAGCAGCUGGAUAACCCCUCACAACAGUGGUGUAAUUCCCACUGAUGCAUGGCAGAGCAGUCAUCUUUUAAAGCUGUUUUAACACAUCAUGCCCAGUGUCUGGGCUGAAGCUGCAGCUCUCCCUUGAGGCAGCAGAAGCAUUUACCUCUCACACAGCUGCUGCUUUCUGUUUACAAGCAACUGAAGGGCAGAGGGGACAAGAGCAGUAAGGAGCUGGAGAUGUGUCACAAAGACUAGGCUGUGCCUUGGGUCCCUUUCCACGGUACCUUCUGCCUCCUAUGAAUGCCAAAGUCUGCAGUGGCUGAGCUCAGGAAGAAACAACCCACAAGUUUCACACAUCAGGAAAUUCCAGGUUUACACAGGCUGCUAGAAAAUACAUACAACACAAUAAUCAGAUUUGUUUUAUUAAAAAACUUGCAAUAAAAUUCCUUGGAAUUCACCGUCUUAACUUUAAGAGUUGUAAUAUUUUACUAGUACGUAAUAACACAGUCUCACAUAUUUACAUUAUAAUCCUCUAUAUAACAAAAAUAGCCAUGUUGGACUACUGAAUAAUGCUUCCAAGUAUUAGCCACAACAUUUUGGUAUUUCCCCCAGCUGAGUCACUGUCUGUGCUCUUUAGCAUUUACAGUAUCUAACAAAGCAAGGACACAAAAUAAUAAAAAGUAUGUCUCAUGAUUUCAAAUCCCUUUAAGAUGGUAGUUCUCUGACUCCCACAUUUUUCAAGAGAGAUAAAGUGCAUUGGAGAGGAGGAUGUAUACGUUACAAAAUGUCAGUGAAGAGUUAAAAGUUUAUUUGCAAGACUGUACAGAAGGGAAAAAA
This is a long non-coding RNA of Parus major (Great Tit), 2137 nucleotides long. RefSeq lists it as uncharacterized. NCBI's taxonomy places the organism in Eukaryota, Metazoa, Chordata, Aves, Passeriformes, Paridae. The transcript is spliced from 2 exons. The record is from RefSeq and is a predicted model, not a curated record.